UCAAUGUAACGCGCGGCGCUCGUCCACCCCGCGGCCAAGACCCCCUCUUCCUCACAGCCCGGCCAGGGUUCGAACGCUGCCUCCCACCUCCCGCACAGAUUUUCCACCAAAUUUGGGUCUUCCUCCCGCGCGACGCCCGCGAACUGCGUCCUCAGGCUGCCGCCGCAAUCCCGCCUGCCGCCUCCGGCCGCCGCCGCGGUGAACCCGGCCGCCUCCGCUUCGGCCGGCGGGAGGCCGCGGUAAACACGGCUGCCUCCGCUGAGGCCGGCGGGAGGCCGCGGUGACGCGACGCGCGCCGCCUUCCACCUCCGCUGAGGCCGCCGGGAGGCCGCGGUGGACGCGCGCCGCCUUCCACCUCCGCUGAAGCCGCCGGGAGGCCGCGGUGGACGCGCGCCGCCUUCCACCUCCAAGCGGGACAGGUAGAGGGACGCCGCCGCCGACCUCCAGGUCGGAUGCGGGAGAGGGAGACGGCGGACUGGGAUCCGCGACCCAAUCCCCUACGCCUACCAGGUCGUGGUUGCGGCCUUGGUUCGGGCGGGUGCCGCGGUUGGAGGGGAGGUGGAGCUCGAUUUGGAGGCUGCAGAGCUCGAUUCGUCGGCGGCGGAGGUCGAUUUGGUGGCGGCUGAGGUCGAUCCGGCAGCGGACCCGCAACUGGCCGAAUCCCGCCGCGGCGCAGCCGGCCGAGGCAAGGCCCUUCGCUGGCGGCGAAGGUGGGGGCACCCUGCCCCAAAGAGCGCCGCUGGCGAUUGCCGAGGUGACAUCAAGGCCCAAGGCAGCGGAGUGGGGAGGACCAGAUGUGGCAUAUGCACGGCAUAGGCAGCGGCCGUGGCGGCGUUCACUAGCAGUAGCUUGAAAGGGGGCAGGCAGCAACACUUGGGGGGUCGAUGCCGCCGGUCGCCGGCAACAAAGCCAAGCAAGGUCCCCGCUGCUCCACGCCUGCGUGCGACGCCCCGCCGCGGUGGCCUCCAUCUCCGCCAUGCUCGACGCCCCCGCCACGCGGCCACCCUCCCGCGCGGAUCCCCCAGGCUCGUGGGCCGCCUCCUCCACUGCAGCGCCGCCGGGGUCCUCCGCUGCGCUGCCGGGGCGCGAGCCCUCCUCUCCGCCUGGGCGGCCCCCUCCUUUCCUGUUCAAGCCUGAUUUGCAUGAUUUAGCACUUGUUCUGCAGUUUUGGAUUAAGGCAUUGGUGGCCCAAGCAAUUGAAGCCAAAAAAGUGAAGGAUCGGAGGGUGUUGGCAUGGCAUCAGUGGGGUGGACGUGGAUGAGGCCAUGCUGAGACUCAUGACUACUGCAUAUUGAAAAUAGAAGUUCAAUGCCUAUGGAGCAUCUAUUGAUGGUGCUCGCUGUUAAAAAGAUUUUGAUCCAAAUGACCGAUUGCUGAAAUCCAGAGUGCUUUGCCGGUUAAUCUCGUGGUGUGGCACUUAUAAGGAUGCUGCAUCAAAGAUGCUUGCUGACAAGUACCACGCAUAAAAUAUUUCCAAUUACUGAGAUCUUCGCAUAAUACGGAUAACAAGUUAAAUAUGAUGCAUUCGCGUGCUGUAGUGAGCUUGAUCCUUUGGCUUCGUGCUGCAAAACCAAAUUCGGUGCCUUUUGGAUUUCAGUCCAUCCAGCCAACACAAACCGGUCAGAUUCUAUGAGAUCAUUUACAAGCGUCAGGAAAUGUCUUAGAUGCUGCAAUCAGAAAAUACAAAAGAUUAUUUGGCACAUAGAAGCACAGAAUCUGUUCACAGAUCCACAAGAUUUCUGAUAGGCGAUGAUAUGGAGCAAAAGGCAGCAGGAAUUGUACUUUGGGACAUGCUCUGGUCAUGCUUUGGAACUACAAUUUGCAUCUGUAAAGGGAUCCUUGUGUUUGCAGUUCUGCCGUCGGACCCAAAAGUAAAUGGAACAAAAAGCAAGUUUCAACUUUGGUUACUAUUCUCACUAUUGUUGCAGGCGUACCUCAAAUACCACUUGAGGCCUCAAUUUGGGAUCCUACAAUACUGCAACAGCCUUAGAUUUGCUGCAAUAGAUGAGUACUGUACUGCACUCUGCGUGUUGUUAUAUCCAUUUAGCUGAAAUGUGGCUAAACCAAGAGGUACCGACCAUUGAUCAAGGCAAUGGAAUAUAUGGCACUGAACCAACUGAAACUUCACUGACAUUUCGGUCUGAUGAGGUGCUGCGUCCAAGCCACAAAAAUAAAUGGCAGAUAAUUGUCUCAUGCAGCUCAUUUCAUCUGUUUAGAUCUGUAGGAAUUUGUGUGUGGCCUUGCAAGUUUUACUUCACAUCCUCUUGCUGGGAACCAAACAUUUUAAUCAAUUUUUCUAGGUGUACUUUGGUCAGAAUUUAGCCUGCAAAGAAACUCUAUAAGGAAACAACAAAGGAAAGAUAAUCAAGGUUGGCAAUCCAGUUUAUGUUGUGCAGGCAAUUACUUGUUCUAAUGAAGCCCCAACCUGAAUCAGAGCUUUUCAAUUUCCCAUGUGCAAUAGACCAUAGUAGCAUUUAAACCGAGUUGUCAACAAAACGUGAGACAAAGCAUUUGUCAUAUGUAUUGUGCUCAGAUUAAAAGAAACAACUGGCUGUUAAGACUAUUGGAUGAUGCAAUAAAACAUUUCCCACAUCACACUA
Molecule: long non-coding RNA, 2600 nt
Organism: Panicum virgatum (switchgrass)
Lineage: Eukaryota; Viridiplantae; Streptophyta; Magnoliopsida; Poales; Poaceae
Exons: 8
Source: RefSeq, a predicted model, not a curated record